RNAcentral lists this ribosomal RNA (248 nucleotides) under uncultured Actinomycetales bacterium. Its description in RNAcentral is "partial 16S ribosomal RNA". It matches the Rfam family "Bacterial small subunit ribosomal RNA", at positions 356 to 616 of the family's 1533-position model. The record is from RNAcentral. Lineage: Bacteria; Bacillati; Actinomycetota; Actinomycetes; Actinomycetales.
AAGGUAUUUUCCCCAAUGGGCGCAAGCCUGAUGCAGCAACGCCGCGUGGGGGAUGACGGCCUUCGGGUUGUAAACCUCUUUCAGCAGGGAAGAAGCGAAAGUGACGGUACCUGCAGAAGAAGCACCGGCUAACUACGUGCCAGCAGCCGCGGUAAUACGUAGGGUGCAAGCGUUGUCCGGAUUUAUUGGGCGUAAAGAGCUCGUAGGCGGUUAGUCACGUCGGCUGUGGAAACUCAGAGCUUAACUCU